AUUGAACGCUGGCGGCAGGCCUAACACAUGCAAGUCGAGCGGAGCGGCGGACGGGUGAGUAAUGCCUAGGAAUCUGCCUGGCAGUGGGGGAUAACGUCCGGAAACGGGCGCUAAUACAGCCUACUAUCAAAUGGACCUGGGUCGGAUUAGCUAUUUGGUGGGGUAAAGGCCUACCAAGGCGACGAUCCGUAACUGGUCUGAGAGGAUGAUCAGUCACACUGGAACUGAGACACGGUCCAGACUCCUACGGGAGGCAGCAGUGGGGAAUAUUGGACAAUGGGCGCAAGCCUGAUCCAGCCAUGCCGCGUGUGUGAAGAAGGUCUUCGGAUUGUAAAGCACUUUAAGUUGGGAGGCGUUACCAACAGAAUAAGCACCGGCUAACUUCGUGCCAGCCGCCGCGGUAAUUC
This 407-nucleotide ribosomal RNA is filed under the name uncultured bacterium. RNAcentral's name for it is "partial 16S ribosomal RNA". It matches the Rfam family "Bacterial small subunit ribosomal RNA", at positions 30 to 526 of the family's 1533-position model. The record is from RNAcentral.